RNAcentral lists this ribosomal RNA (486 nucleotides) under uncultured bacterium. RNAcentral describes it as "partial 16S ribosomal RNA". It matches the Rfam family "Bacterial small subunit ribosomal RNA", at positions 30 to 507 of the family's 1533-position model. The record is from RNAcentral.
AUUGAACGCUGGCGGCAUGCCUUACACAUGCAAGUCGAACGGCAGCACGGGUGCUUGCACCUGGUGGCGAGUGGCGAACGGGUGAGUAAUACAUCGGAACAUGUCCUGUAGUGGGGGAUAGCCCGGCGAAAGCCGGAUUAAUACCGCAUACGAUCUACGGAUGAAAGCGGGGGACCUUCGGGCCUCGCGCUAUAGGGUUGGCCGAUAGCUGAUUAGCUAGUUGGUGGGGUAAAGGCCUACCAAGGCGACGAUCAGUAGCUGGUCUGAGAGGACGACCAGCCACACUGGGACUGAGACACGGCCCAGACUCCUACGGGAGGCAGCAGUGGGGAAUUUUGGACAAUGGGCGAAAGCCUGAUCCAGCAAUGCCGCGUGUGUGAAGAAGGCCUUCGGGUUGUAAAGCACUUUUGUCCGGAAAGAAAUCCUCGGCUCUAAUACAGUCGGGGGAUGACGGUACCGGAAGAAUAAGCACCGGCUAACUACGUG